RNAcentral lists this unclassified non-coding RNA (253 nucleotides) under uncultured Myxococcales bacterium. RNAcentral describes it as "contains 16S-23S intergenic spacer region". It matches the Rfam family "Bacterial small subunit ribosomal RNA", at positions 524 to 776 of the family's 1533-position model. Lineage: Bacteria; Pseudomonadati; Myxococcota; Myxococcia; Myxococcales. The record is from RNAcentral.
UACGGAGGGUACAAGCGUUAAUCGGAAUUACUGGGCGUAAAGCGCAUGUAGGCGGUUUGAUAAGUCGGACGUGAAAGCCCUCAGCUCAACUGAGGAACUGCGUUUGAUACUGUCAAGCUAGAGUCUCGGAGGGGAUGGCGGAAUUCCCGGUGUAGAGGUGAAAUUCGUAGAUAUCGGGAGGAACACCCGUGGCGAAGGCGGCCAUCUGGAAGAGUACUGACGCUGAGAUGCGAAAGCGUGGGGAGCAAACAGG